UUAGGUUAAGUUAUGAAGGGCGCAUGGUGGAUGCCUUGGCACUAGGAGCUGAUGAAGGACGGGACUAACACCGAUAUGCUUCGGGGAGCUGUACGUAAGCUGAUGAAGGACGGGACUAACACCGAUAUGCUUCGGGGAGCUGUACGUAAGCUUUGAUCCGGAGAUUUCCGAAUGAGGAAACUCGAUAACCUUAAUCGGUUAUCACCAAUUAGUGAAUUAAUUAGCUAAUUUGGCGGCAGACGUGGGGAACUGAAACAUCUAAGUACCCACAGGAAGAGAAAGAAAUUUCG
RNAcentral lists this ribosomal RNA (290 nucleotides) under Apilactobacillus timberlakei. Its description in RNAcentral is "Lactobacillus timberlakei partial 23S ribosomal RNA". It matches the Rfam family "Bacterial large subunit ribosomal RNA", at positions 1 to 233 of the family's 2925-position model. The record is from RNAcentral. Lineage: Bacteria; Bacillati; Bacillota; Bacilli; Lactobacillales; Lactobacillaceae.